AAGUCCGACUGUGAAAAUGCAGAAAAAAGCAGAUAAAGACAAUUAUAGAUUCCACCUUUUUCACAGAUUGCAGCUUCUGAUGUCUUAAAAUAAUUGUACAAGUAGCUAAAUACUCAGACUGAUGAGCCACUGCUACUGUUGUAAAAUGCAUGUAAUGACAGUCACAGGAAACAUCAGAUAUAUUAGGAUGAUGCAGGCAUUUUCCCUUCUAAAGAAGAAGCUUUCUAAAUUUCUAAAGUGUGGGUUUUCCCCUCUGUGCUGCCACAAGGGCAUUGCGUUGCACAGUGAUGAAGUUAAAUGCUUGAGGCCUUCAAUUACUGUGGAACAAUACUGCAAAAAACAAGUAUGACAACCUAGAGAGAUGUGGAAUAGUUGUCCAAUCAUGCAUCUGGUAUUUAGAUCAAGCUCUAGAUAACAGAAGAGUGAAGGUAUAACUGGCUGAGGAGAUUCAUCAUGAGGUUAAUAUUUAUAACAGAGACAUAACCAGAACACGUAAUACAUGCUCUGACUUGCUUUUUUUCCAUGUUAUUUAUUCCUCUUGCCUCUCACUCUGUUUUAUUUGCAUCUGAAUGAAAAAAGGCUGUUGGCUAAACUGAGGAUAGUAAUACAACACCAGGCAGUCUUCCAAAUCCCAUCACUGGUACCGAUGCUUUCAGGAUAAAUGAGUUAUCAUACAGUCACUGCAGGGCAAAUUACAAUAAUGGGUACCAUUUCAAAUUCUGAUUAAAAUGAAACUGGUUGUUCAUGACAUCAGGGGAUUAUUCUGGUCUAUUCAUGUAGCAAAGCUUUAAAGUCACUUCCGGAUUUAACUGUCUGUCUUGCACCUAAAGAGGAGACAUCAAGGAAAAGAGAAGCAUGACAAGAGCAGUUUUAUUUACUCUUUCUUUCCUCUCUGAAGUCAUCAGGUUGAUAAUUUGCCACAAUUUCCAUAUUUUAUUGAUCUCUAAUAUUUACUUUCUGAUGACGUUAAGCUGCUGAGUGUACAUUCUCUGUAUUGGUGCCGUCAGAUCCUCUUUAUAUUGCAGUUGUGUCACUUGCUGUAAGUGUUGUGCAAUAUAUGUUCAUAAUACAAACCACUGUUUGACCAAAAGCUGAAGUAAUUUAACUGAAAUGUGACAACGUCGGUUUAUGCAACCAGGUGGAGACAACACAAUGAAAUGAUAAUAUGUAAAAUCCUAUCUCCCCCAAAAAAAUCACCAAAAAGUUGAAAGGUGCUUUGAAUAAUACUAUGUCACUUAAAACAGACAAGUAAUGUAACUCCUUAGUGCAGAAUAUAGAAGAAAAUUUUCAUGCAACUUCCUUUCAGCAGCAUUUUUUUUGUGCCUUGAAUCGGUCAGUUCGUCCAACGUAUCAGAUUUUGUCAGUGACAUUAUGCUUCAAACAACCUUUACCAAAACUGAGACGAGUAAACAAACGACUGAUAAUACUCCCAGAAAGCAACCUAGAUGCAAACAUCAUUGAACAAAUAUGUAAACAAGCAGGAAAAAAACAGUCAUAGGCAAAUGGGACAUGCAUAUGAUGAGGUGCAAUGAGGAAAAGGCCUCACUGAGAUGAAUAAGCACAUUUACUCCCCUACUAUACUCCUGCCGCAACAUUUUAGUUUUUUAUUUUUACCUUAAUUGAGUAUUACUUUUCAUAUUUCGGGAUACUUCAUACUCCUGCAUACAAUUUUACUCCCAACAUUUAUUUGAAAGGCAUAAUUAUAUACUUUGCACAUUAAUAUAAAUGUAAACGUACAGAUAAAUCCACUUUCACUAAAUACAACAGUAAAAUGUUGCUUAUGCACUCAUCUCAGUAAUAAAGACCCAAUAGUGGGACAUAGAAUAAGAUAAGAUUGUUAACCCUCCUGUUGUCCUCAUUUACAGGCACCAAAAAAUAUUGUUUCCUUGUCUGAAAAAAAAUCCAGAAAUUCAGCAAAAAAAAAUUCCCCAAAUUUCUGAAAAUUUGCAAAACCUCCAGGAAGAAAAUUCCCAUAAUUUCUUAAAAGUUUCCCUUAAAAGAUUUAUUUUUGAAAAAAUUCCAAAUUUGGCAAGAAAAUUCCUGUAAAUAUUUUCAAAAAAAUCCUAAAAAUAUCUGAAGUGAUUACAUAUAUAUCAGUAAAACUUCUAAUAUUUUCUUUAAGAACAUUUGUGAAUGUUCUUAAGAAACAUUUUUAACAUUUCUUUUUUUCUCACCAAAAAAAUGUUCAAAGAUGUCCCUAAAAUCCUGAAAAUGUGGACAGCAGAAGUUUCACUGAGAAUUUUUUCCCCCCACAUUUUCAAACUUUAAGACAACAGGAGGGUUAAAAUACCUUUCAUUUGUGAUUCCACUAAAGAAAUCAGCAUUUUAACUUGUAUUGGAGUGUUUUUGCACAGUGAUAUUUCUGCUGUUGAGUAAGAAGAGGUUUUAAUUACCCGUACACUAAGACCCAUUUUAGCCUUUGAGCAACUGAAACAGGAAAUCAGGAAGUUGAUGCCAGCUUCAAAACAUGUCUGGCGUAUCUACAACACAGACAACCACAAAACUGACUAAGCAACAGAUUAAUCACAGGACUUCACAGACUUUCGAGACUUGUCCUUAUCUAACAGGGCAAAAGUCCAUCUGCUUAGUUUAUUUCCAAGUUUACUUCUUUAAAGAUGUGAUUUUUUUUUUAUUUUAAAAAAAAGCUCUUUUCCAGCAGUCUAUCUGACAAUACUGCAGUAUUGUCAGAUAGACUGGGCAGAGCUGCUGCGUGCCUCUGUGCUGUGAUUACAUUCCAAAGAGUGAGCUAAAAAUACAGCUUUGCUUGGAAAAAAAAACGCACAGGGUGUGACUGUGGCUCCUUUUUCCAUUUUCCUGCCAGGUUCCCUAAAAUCCUCCAACCUUCCUAAGAGUAUUUACAUGCAGAUCAUUUGAAUGGAUUUGCUUUAAGUUUGCUCAACAUAUUUUAUUUCUUUCCCUCACUGCCUUUAAAUCAUGUUUCAUACCAAAGAAACCUACAGAGCUGUGAUACACAAACGGAUUAGAAAGUCCGUUAGGGUGAGGAUUUACAUACCGAGGAUAAGGCAGGUAGCGUCCAGCAGGAUGAGUGGGAUCCCGGAGACUUCAAACAUGUUGCGGCUCCUUUUUCUUCUCCGUCUGGCGUCUGUUUUUGUUAAAAAUCCCCCGUUCUGAUUGUUCCAGCUGCUCUGACUUUUAGAGGAGACGAGACGCAGCCGUUCUGCCGCACAUAUCUCUCUAUUCCAGUAAAAAAUCAAAACACAGUGUCAUUUUCCCGGGACUGUCCCAGCACCUAAACCUACCAAAAAGGUAAAAAUAACAAACCUAUUCUAGGUGAAAAACACUCCACUAAAGGCAAAAUCUAAUCUAAAAACACCACCACACACGUAGAGAGCGUCUCACCCGGUCGACUGCUCACAAACCAUCAUAACUCAGCGGGAUUUCUUCAGCUCAUAAUACCGUCCUGUCCUCACAUGAGACAUUAGCGGUGACACCAGCUCCUCUCCCGUUGUUAUUAAUGCUGCCUUCACGGACAGCCCGGAAAAAGGAGUCCCGCGACCUUACGUGACGCUCAGAGGGUCAAUAUGAAACUGGAUCCUUUAACAUUGUCACUUCAAAAGUCUAUUAUUAAUAACACUGUAGGGUAAAAACCUUAAUAUUUCAUUUAGUCAGAUAAGUGUGUAUCAUAUGAUAUUGUAGCCCUUUAACGUUACUAUUUAAUUUUGCAUUGUACCUUUGUAUUUUAGAUGUUACAGCAACGAAUACAAGAAAUAGUGCCAGAAAAGAAAAAGAGCAGCACACAAUGCACACAGUGCACAGAUACAAUCAUUUUUUUCCUUCUAGAAGAAAUAUAAAUGUUUACAGAAAAAAUUCUCAUAUGCAUUUUUAUUGCAUUUAAAUAAUAUUGUAGGAUUUUAAUCAUUAUAUAUAAUUUUAAUCAGGUAAAUUUGCAGUAUUCUAGAGUCUAAGCUUUUUUUUUUUUUAAAUUCAGUCAGGUACAGUUGUGUUUUAUACAAUAACAGGUUUUCCCCUUAAUAUUUAAAUUAGUAAUUAAUAUUUUUAUUUCAAACCACACUGUCAACCCUUUUUUUUCCGCAGUGAUGCACAAGUAAUAAUAAUUAAAGUAUUUUAUUUACUCUCAAGAAGUAAUGUAUGUAUGCAUUCAUGGUUUGAACAAAACAAGCAGACAAAAACACAAAACAAUUUAAAAAGAUCAAAACCCAAUGAAAAUUGUCUCAUAAUUGAGAUCUCAAAUUGCCUGACUUUUCAGCGUUCUGGAGUCAGUUUAAGAGUUUUGUAGGCUGUAAGACUUCUGUCCAAGGCUUUCAUUCGACUACAUUAUGAAUAACACAAUAAGAUUUUUUUUUGGUUGAUUUGUUUGUUCAUUUUUACCAACUUGCACCAAAGCAAAAAUAUUUUUGCAAAAUAAUCCUGGGUCUCUUAUUUGUUGUUGCAAUCAUGUGUUUAACAUUCUUGCAAGCAGAUAUUAUUUUACUGCUUGUAAAAGUAAAACCAUUGUUCUUCCAUGUAACGUGUUUUGUUACAGAAUAUUAUAAAUAUAUUAGAUAGUAGAUAUUAAAAAUACAUUUUCUUGUUUCACAGCCUCACAGUGGGAUAUCUGCUAACUCUUCACUUAUCAUUAAAAUAACUUAAAGAAUAUGGCAACAGGUAGCCUAGUGACAAGCAAAGCACAUUUUAUUCAUUUAUUGUAAGUUGCUGUAUUUAGAUACGCUAUCUUUAAGAAAUUGAUUGAAUUUUCAGUGUUUUGUUGUCAGCAGAUUUGGUGUGAUCAUUAUUAGUCAUUUAUUCUGGGUGUUAUAAUAUGAAUAUCUGUGAAAUUCUCUUUGUCUUGGCUACAUGUUGAAUUUCCGAGGGGCAUCUGAAGGCAUCACUGGACAGGGAAGCGGUAGUGGGAGUUUUGGGCCUAUCGUGAGGCUGCAAUCACGCUACGACAGCCGUCUGCCGAUGCAGAGCUGCUCCUCCCUCCUCUGAGUGCGACCACGGAGACCAAAGAACUACAGAUUCUUCACAACCUGCUCAAACUCUUGGUACAGGAUCUCACCACACGGGUCAAGAAGGUUUCUGUCUCAUUUCUACUCUGAAGCUCACCUUCUCCUGCUCAAACUGCUGACAAAUGUUUCUGCUACUCUAAAGUCUGCUCUCCAGAACUUCCUAAAAACUCUCAAAGUCUCUUCUGCUGCAGGUUGCUUUGUAGAACUGUUGCAGAAAACCUCACUAAACCACAUGGAGGGGCCUCAAGAUAGUCGUCCAAAUGAAACCAUACAAAAACCAAACUAGCACAACCCAAACACUAAAGUCUCCUGCAGCCUACCAGAGAACCUCUGAGAACAGAGAAUCAGGACAGGAACUCUUACCUUCUGGACAACCAACCUUGGUUCACAAACAAGAAUACAGAAUGUGUCUGACCAAAAACCUCUAAAGACUCACUACAGCCAAGAUAAAGACACAACUCAGCUGCACCAAACCCACUAAUCACUGCACACAUUAGGACCAUGUGCUCACUGUGGCUAAAGAACCACAUUUACCAAGACAACUAUCCAGUACAAAGCCCUAAAACACACCAAGAAACACAUUAAAGCCGAUUUUACUGCUGGAAGCUGCAAGCCAACGCCUAAAUAACAAACUAAAGCAAUGGAGCCAAACACACUUCAGUGGUGAAGAGAAACAGAGGAAAUGUUUAGCUGCAGCCACAUAAAGCAGGAAGACACUGAGCUGCUCAGGUGUUCCUGAUAACACCAAGCAGCCACCUGGACAGCCAAUAGGAACACAGCUUACUGGAAGUCCAGAGGGCGGGGUUAGUGAAGGAAAUUUAGUUUAAAGUUGAAGCAGAAAGUUAAUAAAGAAAGUUGAAAACCA
Molecule: long non-coding RNA, 5835 nt
Organism: Amphiprion ocellaris (clown anemonefish)
Lineage: Eukaryota; Metazoa; Chordata; Actinopteri; Pomacentridae
Exons: 2
Source: RefSeq, a predicted model, not a curated record